UUGGGGUAUGUGACUCCUGGUCCAGUUUUCAACAAAAUUACUGCAAAUAAUAGAAAGGGAAGGAGAGUCAAAGACAUGGAACAAAAGAGUUUAGUCUGUAGAAGGAAAAGGAAUACAAGGAUUUUUCUCAGUUUAGGAGCUGAAGAAAGUAGUUGAUCACCAACCAAGAUGGUGAAGUUGGUGAGCAUGUUUUUACAAAUAUACUGUGGAGAGCAUUCUAAAUGGUUGCAUCACCAUCUGGUAUGGAGGGGCCACAGAAAAAGUAAAUCAAGAAAAUAUAUAUAUUCAUUUAUUUCAUCCAUUUCUUCCCAUGUAUUUAUUGAUCAUAUCAUAUCUACAACUUGUCCCCACAGCAACUAUGAUCCCACAUUAGUAAUAUUCCCUUUGCCCUGUCCACCCCUCCCCGGCUUCACAGCAAUUUAAAACUAACUUGUUUUAUGCUUUUUGAGCUCUAAUGCUAUGUCUUCACCCUUAAGUGUUAACUCUGUCUCUCCUUCCAGGGCAGUUGCCUGGUCUGCUGAGUGUUUCCAUUAUUUUGUGUCCUUGUGUGGAGUUUGUAUGUUCUCCCUCUGACAUUGUGGAUUUUGCAUAGGUACUCUAGUUUCCUCAUACAUUCUAAAGAUGUCCCAGUGGAUUAAGUGCUUGUUGCAAAUUGCCUCCAGUGCAGGGGUUCCCAUCCUGGGGUCCAUGGACCCCUUGCUUAAUGAUAUUGGUUCAUGGCUUAAAAAAGGUUGGGGAAACCCUUCUCUAGUGGGUGGGAUGAGAAUGAGGAGGAGAUGAUAGGGAGGGUUACAGGACAGGUGACAGUGGGCUACUGGGAAAUAAAUGAAGGAAUGUGCGUGUUGGGGAUUCUCUGAAAACUGGCAUAGACAGUCAUAGAGAGACAUGGCACAGAAACCGAGUUCAUCCACCACACGUUUGGAACCAAACUGAUCCCAUUUUUUUAAUUCUCUUAUAUUCCCAUCAGUUCUCCCAGAUUGCACCUCUCACCAACACCCUAGGGGUAAUUACAGUGGUCAAUUCACCUACUAACUUGCAUUUCAUUGGGAGGUGGAACGAAACCCAGAAGAAACCUGUAUGGUCACAGAGAAGAAAGGGCAAACUCCACACGAAUUGUGGGUCCCAGUCCAGCACAAUGUCCUGAGGGAAGCCACGGAGGUUAACUAUAUGCUGGAGAACAGGUUCUGCCGUCUCAGCGGCUGACAGAACCUUGGGGAGGGCAAUGAACUGGCUGUCUUGGAGAACUGGUCCACCACUGUCAGGAUCACGAUGGCCCCAUCGGAAGGUCGCAAAACUGUAAUGAAAUCCACCUCUACCACAAAAAGUCUGAAGGGUUCCGAUGGUGGAGAAAGGAAGUGGUAAUGGAGUGUCUCUUGAGUUUCUCAAAAGCGUGGUUCUGCGGCAUCAGGCCAGACCAGAUCCGUGAAGUGGGUGACUGGGUCAGGGAGGUGAGAAGAGCAGCUGUAAUUCCUAACGAAGUGUGGUAGAAGUUAGAGAAGCCCAAGAAGUUCUGUAGGUGUUUGAGGGAGUGAGGUCACGGCCAUCCAGUGAUGGCGCGCGCUUUCUGAGUCCAUGGAUAUGCCUUGGGGUGAAGGAACUUAACCCAGGAAGGAAAUGACUGGGAGGUUGAACUAACAUUUCUCUAACUUGCAGUGCAGUUGGUUGUUGAGGAGACACUGAAGCACUGAUCAGACGUGAUACACGUGGUCUUGGGGGACCUUGGAGAAGAUGAGAACUGUUUGAGGUAGAUGUGUGUAGCAUGUUUUAGAAGAUAUUAUUAAUGAAGGCUUUGAAAAUGGCUGGACUGUUGUAAAGUUCACAAAGAAUCACUAAGUAUUCGCAGUAGCCUGUGGGUGUUAUGAAUCCCGUCUUCCACUCAUCCCCCGGCAGAUAUGGAUCAAGUUGUACACACUCCUUAGGUCCAGUGUGGUGAAGAUCUGGGCCCUGCAGAGUGUCUCGAAUGUGCUGUCAAUCAAGGGGAGAGGGAAGCGGUUCUUAGUGGUGAUUUUGUUGAGUCGACAGUCGCCAAUGCAGGAAGUUAAACCCUCUCAUUCAUUUUGACAGAGCAGAAUCCUGCACCGGCUAGGGACUGAGAAGGGAUAAUGAAUCUAUGCUGUAGCACUUCAGCGAUACAGCCAGUCAUCGUUUGGGUCUCAGGAGGGGAGCAGAAGAACAGAUGGCUUUGGGGAAGGGUGGAAGGAAUUGAUUACUCAGUGGUGUGGUCUGUGAGGCAGCAGAGUGCUGACUUCCCUUUUAGUAAAGGUGCUGACUAAAUUGUGGUACCCCUGUGGGACUUUGGUGAGGUCGAGGGUUUCCUCCAUUUCCAUGGAUUUAUGGGGUGAAGUCAGCUGAGGUUACAGACAGGUAGGUCCCCAACUCAGUGAACUGGAUAACCAGGCAAAGUGGGGCCAUAAAUGGAGAGCCAAGGGUGACCCAAAAUGAGAGGAGUGUUGAGUGAGUAAUUGGAUGGACUCACGAUGACCUUCAAAGCUCACAUGCACAGGUUGUGUGUGCGCUCUGACUGCCUCAGACCCCAGGAGAUGUCAGUCGAUGGCCAGGAUGUUGAAGGGGUGAAAGAUAGGCUUGGCAAGGAGUCCAAGCUGCACACACACAGAGUCCAGCCGGAAUCCACCAGAGCCUCCUGUGCAUGUAGAGCUGACAGAGUGUGGAGGAGGACAGAGACUGAGAUGGAAUGAGGGGCUGGGGACAGUUUUCCAGACUGGAAGGCCCACGAAUCUACCUGGAGGUGCCAUUUCCCAGAUGCAGUGGACAUUUGGCGCUUUGGUGGCAGCUGCUCUGCAGUAGCUGCACUCGCACCCUCAAGGGGAGAGCUCUCCCUAGCUGCAUGGGUGCUGGAGACAUUGGUGAGGAGAGUUCUGUAGCCUGAAAUGGUUCUGGGAAUGGAACCGGGGGAGGGGGGGUCUGACUAUGAUCUGGAGGGUUGUUUCUCAAGAUGCUUGUUGAUACAGAGGGCCAGGAGUAAUGAGGCUUUCAAGGUUGGUGGGCAUCUCCUGGGUGGACAACUCGUCUUUCAAUGCUCUGAGAGUGUGGGCCAGCAGCACUCUGCACUGUGAGGGUCCUGAUUUCGAUGGUGUAAUCCAGCACCAAGUGUGAUCCUUGUUGCAAGCAAAGUAUCAGAUCCACUGCCCUCCUUCCACUUCCCGGGCAGUCGAAAAUCCAGCACACCUCAGCAGCAAAAUCCUCAUAUUCAUUGCAAACAAGGGUUUUAUUGUCCCCCUUACUGGUGAGGUGGUUCGAAUCAGAGCUCCUGCAGUCAAGAGAGAGAUGAGAAAGGUGAUCUUGGCCUGGUCCGUGAUCCUGGUCCUGGUUCUUGCUGAAGACGCACUGGGGUAAGAAGCUGUGGCAUCAGGUUGGGAAUCCAUUGAAGCAUUCGGGCACAGGAAACCGGGGCUCAGAGGGAGGAGGUUGACUGGCACAGACUUGCUGCACUGAGGCAGAAGAGAGUGGCACGCAGAAACAGUUUCCUGCUGUUUCUAGAUGGUGUACUCGUGUCAGUGGGUGAGCAUACGCCGCUGGGUCAAUAGAUGGUUCACCCGCCCUGUCAGGAAACGUAGAGGAGGCUUGGCCCAAAAGCAAAGAGUAGCAAAGAUGAGUUAGCAGUAAAUGAUAGUUUACUAACGGACCACAAAAUAAGAGAGAAUGGAAACUAUACACAACUGUCAAAAAGGUCUUUGCUCAAGGAGAAUAAAGGCUGGGAGCAACUGGUUCAAUGAGUGAAGAAGGCCGGGAACUGGGGUUAAAUAGGCUGCAGGUGACGAGUCUGGAGUGAGCGGCAGGUGAACUGUGUUAGCUGUGGUAACUGAGAGGUGCCCACGGGAGGAGGUUUGAUAUGCAGACGCUGCCUGACCUGCUGAGCUCCUCCAGCAUUUUAAUGUGUUCCGAGGGAUGGGUAAUAAAUGCUGGCCUGGCCCGGCCCAUAACCACCAGACCCUGAAAAUAAACAGAAAUCAGUCACUGAGAGUGCACUAUCCACCUCAUCCUGGUACAGUAGUCAGUGUCCGUGAGGUCAGGCUGUGAGCACCUCUGCCUGGUGCAGAAGGGGAAGGGUUAUCCCACAGCAUGACCAUAGCCUCGCCUACACUCCAGCUGUGAAUCUCCCCUGGAGUAAGUGGGUAGGGAGAGAGGGACGGGAUUGUUGGGAAACAGUGAUUUCUCCAGAUUAACACCAGAUAUUCUGUAACCCCAGGUAUUCGUCCCUUUCACUUGGCAGAGGUGUCAUUGAUUUAAUAUCACGUAUUCAGCUACUCACAUGACUCUGAGGUCCCGUCCUGGGAGGGAGGAUUUUCAUUUAUCCUGUGGCUGCUACGUGCUGGAUCAAUACACAACACAGAAAUUAGAGCUGCUGCAGUGGUUUUAAAAGCUUGCAUUUUUUUCCAGAUAAAUGGCAUAAAAUGACUUGUGACUUUCUUAAAAGCCUCAGCUGAGACGAAGGAAAAAACAUCGUAAAUCUAAUGCACUGAGGUAGCAAUCCCUCAGUACAGGCAACUUCCUGAACUCAUUGGCAGCUUCGCACAUAACAUCGACAGAAUUCAUGGGAUGACCACAUACUCGGUACAGCAGUAUGUGGUAACAGUGUGUCUCAGUGUUUUAAGAUUACACCUCCUUGUCUCCAGUUGGGAACCAGUAAGAAAAGCUUCUUUCUCUAUAUGAUCGUAAUCAUCCCCGCAAAUCUCUCUUCUCCAGUCUUCCAUAGGAAAAAAGAUACAAAAGCCUAAAGCACGUAUCACCUGGCUCGAGGAAGGCUUCUAUCCUACAUAACAGGAAUCGGAUGGCAGAGGGAAAGAAGCAGUUCCUGAAUCACUGAGUGCCUUCGGACUCCUGCACCUCCUCCCUGGUGAUAGCAAUGAGAACAAGGCAUAACCUGGGUAAUGGUGGUCCUUAAUGAUGAAUGCCACCUUUUGGUUUCUUGAAGAUGCCCUGGAUACUACGGAGGCUAGUGCCCAUGAUGGAGCUGACUAAGAUUACAACUCUCUGCAGUUUAUUUCGAUCCUGUGCAGUAGUUUCACCACCCACCCAUCGAAACCAGACAGUAAUAAUGCAGCCGGUUAGAAUGAUCUCCUUGGUUCAUCUGUAGAAAUUUUCAAGUGUCUUCUCAAACUCCUAAUGAAAUAUUGCUGCUGUCGUGCCUUCUUUGUAGCUGCAUCAAGAUGUUGGGCCCAGGAUAGACCCUCAGAGAUACGGACAACCAGGAACUUGGAAUUGCUUACACUUUCCACUUCUGUUCCCUCUAAGGACUGGAGUGCGUUCCCUCAUCUUGCCCUUUCUCAAAUCUGCAAUCAGUUUUUUGGUUUCACUGACGUUGAGUGCAAGGCUGUUGCUGUGAUACCACUCAACUAGCUGAAAUAUCUUGCUUGUCACCAUCUGAAAUUCUGCCAACAUUUGUAUCAUCAACAAACUCAUAGAUGGCAAUUGAGCUGUGCCUAGCUACACAGUAAUAGAUGUAGUGAAAGUAGUGCAGUGGGCUUGGCACACAUCCCUGAGGAGCACCAGUGUGAUUGUCAGCGAGGUGGAGAUGCUAUUUCCGAUCCACACAGAUUGUCAUCUUCCAGUUAGGAAGUCGAGAAUCUAGUUGCAGAAUAAGGUACAGAGGCCCAGGUUCUGGAGCUUUUCAAUCAGAACUGUAGGAAUGAAUGUGUUAAAUGUUGAGCUGUAGUCAAUAAACAACAUUAAGUUAGUUUUACACGUAAAGAAGUGGAGGAAGGAUGGAUAGAACAAAGGUAUAUCUCUCAAAGAGUAUCUCUCAAGCUGCUCUGGGGAUAAUUUAUUUAUGAGGCUAAGGAAAGAAAUAGAAACCAGUGCAGGAGCAGAAGGCUGAAGAGAGAAUCCCACAGAGGAAAAUUUCUUCAAGCCAGGCAUUCCUAUGGAGAAGAGGAAGUGAAUUCAGCUCCAGGAAAAUCAAAACAACUGCAGAUCCUGAAAAUCUGCUGAAGCCCUUGUCUCACCCUCUGAGAAAGAUUCCUCUUGUCCUCUCCAUCCCUAUGACCACCCUCCAUGCAAAUUAAAACUAACACAUUUCUCUCAAUCCCAGUCAUCAACCUGAAAUGUUAACUCUUUUCCUCAAAACUGCUGAGUGUUUCCCACACUUUCUGAUUAUUUUUGUUUCAGGUUUUUGACAUCUGUGGUUUUUGUUUUAAUUUUCAUCAUGUGCUCUAUGUGUCUGAGUACUCAGGGGUCCUAGAGUCAUCAAGCCGUACAGCACAGGAACAGGCUCUCCAUGCUGACCCCUGCUCCAAUCUGCAUUCAUCCCAUUUGCCCACUUUAUGAUUAGUUCCUUCUAAACAUGGAGGCUACCUCAGUAAACAUAUUUAAGACAAGGUUGGAUAUAUUUUUGCAUAGUAGGGGAAUUAAGGAUUAUGGGGAAAAGACAGGUAGGUGGAGAUGAGUCCUUGGUCAGAUCAGCCAUGAUCUUAUUGAAUGGCACAGCAGACUUGACGAGCCAGAUGGCCUACUCCUGCUCCUAUUUCUUAAGCUCUUAUGUUCCUACACCUUACCUAUUCUCUUAAAUGCAGUGAUUGUAUAUGUCUCCACCAACUCCUCUGGCAGCAGAGUCCAGAUAUUAAACACUCGACUCUGUGUGCAAAAAAUUACCUCUCAAUUUCCUUUAAAAUUCCAAUCUCUGAGAGUGUAAUAUACGCAAAAACCUCAAGAAAACAACUUGAGUUAAUGUUUAAUUCACCAAAUCAAGCAAGUAUUUGGUUUACUCACUAAAUACUGACCUUGACAGCAAUGUCCCUUCCUGCAGUUCAUCUUACACAAUUGAAAAUCACUUCAAUCUCUAUGUGCUUUGGCAAGAAAUGGUUCAGUGAAUGUCAAUUUGAUUUGCAUUACUAUAAAUAAAAUUAUUAUUGACAUGCUAUUGAUGUAAAAAUUAUUUUAAAAGAGUUUAUAUAAUCGUACACACAAAUGCUGUUUAAAAAUAAAUUUGAUCAUCCUUUGAGAUUGUUUGUAGUUUUAUUUUUAGUUGUGGAAAAUCCAGCCUGUUAUCAUGACGGCUGUGGGUUGCUUCUCUGCUGCCCAGUUUCCAAGAGGAUCAGAGCAUCAUGUGUGACUGCAGCCAUGGCUGCCCAGCUUGGACGUUUAUCCAGCAAUGUGUUGGAGACUGAUUGGAUGAGAAAAUUGGUGAACAUCCACGUGAUGUUGAGAGAUGGUUUACAGCUCUAGUUCCUCAUUAAUGGGACAAUAGGUGGAGGAAAUACAGAGGUGAUACAGCACAAAAACAGCCUCUUCAAUCCAUGCUAGACUUUAUGCCCAUCCAAACUCUUGGAUUGUGGUGUAGAGUUGUUAUUUUUCAUGUAGUUUGACUGUUUUGUGGUUAUUUGUCAUUUAUAUAAUCGCCUAUAUAUGCAUAUAAUUGUUCAAUGAAUUUUCUUGCCGCUGUAUUUUUUGGAAACUUCUUGGUUUUAGAUGUCACAUUACUUGAAUCUGGAUACCACCAUAAGAUAUAGGAGCAGAAUUAGGCCACUUGGCUGUCGAGUCUGCUCCACCAUUUCAUCAUGGCAGAUCCAUUUUCCCUCUCUGCCCCAAUCUCCUGCCUUCUCCCCGUAUCCCUUCACCUCCAGACUAAUCAAAAAUCUAUCAACCUCUGCCUUAAAUACACCCAAUAACUUGGCCUCCACCACCUGUGGCAAUGAAUUCCACAGAUUCACCACUCUCUGACUAAAGAAGUUCAUCUUCAUCUCCAUUCUAAAUGGAUGCCCCUCUAUUCUGAGGCUGUGCCCUCUGGGUCUUAGAUGAUCUUGACAGGAAUCCGCUUGGCAUCGAGUAUCCUUCAACCUAGUGAACCUACCUGAUGGAAUUUCUGUUAUCAGUGCUGUGCUAUGAAAAGACCACAUGAAUUUUCAUCUUCCUUUCAUUUGAUUCUCAUCCUGCUUUUUUCUUCUCUCUUCUUUGCUCUUGUAACAUUUAAUAAUAUAAUUGUAAGCAUGAAGUUUUAUACCUCAUUCUUGAUUUCCAAAGAAUCCUUGGAUCACGAAAACAUCAGAAUCCAACAACACUAACCCUAUUUGUCCACAUUAUGUCUGUAUCCUUAUAUGCCUUGUUUAUUCAUGUGCCGGUCAAAUUGCCUCUUAAAUGCAGUGACUGUAUCUGACUCCAACACUUCCUCUGUCAGGAUGUUCUAGCUAUCAACUAAUACAUCUUAACAAUCUUCCUCUCAAAUCACUUUUAAAACUCUUCGUCUCUACUUCGUUACCCUCUCCAUUGGAAAUCAUCACAACAAUCUGUCCUAUCUCAUCGUCAUCAUUAUGUGCUGUGUCAUAUGAGGUGGGCGAUCACGGAGACCUGACUAUGAUUGUUCUUGGCAAUUUUAUCUUCAGAAGUGGUUUGCCACUGCCUUCUCCUGGGCCAUGUCUUUACAAGACAGGUGACCCCAAUCAUUAUGAGUACUCUUGAGAAACUGUCUGCCUGGUGUUAGUGGGUGUAUAACCAGGUGCUGUGACAUGCACCAAUAACUCAUAUGACCAUCUACCACCUGCUCCCAUGGCUUCAUGUGACCCUGAUGGGUGGUGGGUGGGGCUAAGCAGGUGAUACAUCUUGCCCAAGGGUGACCUGCAGGCUAGCAGA
Molecule: long non-coding RNA, 8583 nt
Organism: Hypanus sabinus (Atlantic stingray)
Lineage: Eukaryota; Metazoa; Chordata; Chondrichthyes; Myliobatiformes; Dasyatidae
Exons: 3
Source: RefSeq, a predicted model, not a curated record